RNAcentral lists this ribosomal RNA (540 nucleotides) under uncultured bacterium. RNAcentral's name for it is "bacterial SSU rRNA". It matches the Rfam family "Bacterial small subunit ribosomal RNA", at positions 9 to 567 of the family's 1533-position model. The record is from RNAcentral.
GAGUUUGAUCCUGGCUCAGAAUCAACGCUGGCGGCGUGCCUAACACAUGCAAGUCGAGCGAGAAAAGUUCCUUCGGGAACUGAGUAAAGUGGCGAACGGGUGAGUAACGCGUGGGUGAUCUGCCCUUUGGUGGGGGAUAACUCGGGGAAACCCGGGCUAAUACCGCAUAAGCCUGUCUAUUCGUUUAGACAGGGAAAAGUUCUUUGCCGAAGGAGGAGCCCGCGUCCGAUUAGCUAGUUGGCGAGGUAAGAGCUCACCAAGGCAACGAUCGGUAGCCGGUCUGAGAGGACGGACGGUCACACUGGGACUGAGACACGGCCCAGACUCCUACGGGAGGCAGCAGUGGGGAAUUUUGGGCAAUGGGGGCAACCCUGACCCAGCAACGCCGCGUGGAGGACGAAGGUUUUCGGAUCGUAAACUCCUGUCUGGAGGGACGAAGAAGUGACGGUACCUCUGGAGGAAGCCCCGGCUAACUCCGUGCCAGCAGCCGCGGUAAUACGGGGGGGGCAAGCGUUGUUCGGAAUUACUGGGCGUAAAGGG